CAGCUCUCUAUAAUGAAGUCUCUUUUCAACAUAAUCAGCCAAUUUUUUAAUUCUACCACAUACCAGUCAUUUUAUUCUUUUGUUACUUUUUCAUAUAAUCAAAGGUAUAUAUAUACUAAACUAUAUAUAUGCAUUUACAGACCCCUCGUGAUUGGCCACCGUGAGUGACACUCGUGCAUCAUGCACGGACUACGGCACUGCUUAUGGGGUCUCAAGUACCGGGACCCCCAUGAUGCUUUAAAAGAGGCCGCCAUCAGCCGGCAUAAAGUACUAUACUGCUAUACCGUGUGCUAUACCACUAUUUUACCGGUACCCUAUACAUAAGUGCUCCAUAUGUGGAUAUAUAUGUAUUUACCUGAGCAUAUACAGGUACGGGAUACCCUUUAUAGGUACAUGGCUCUCGAUCCCUAUAGUCGAAGUUGCGCUUAGUGACUCUCGUAAGUCGCUCCUCUCUUGCGAAAUAUUGUGCGACUCUCCGCAAGAGAUAACAUUGCGAUAGCGAAUGCGGCAAUAACCGUUGUCUUGGCUUGUCUCGAUGUUAUUUACAUAAUCCUCUCUUUUUCUAUUUAUUUAUCAUCCAACUCGUCUGCUGCUUCUGUUCCUCUUUGUUAACACUUUUUCUGUCUUAUCUCGACCAAGAUAAAUUCAAAUCACGCGGUACAUUGCGCUACCGACUAUUGACGGCAGGGGCGCUGUCUACGCGUGAGACAGUUGUAUUUUGUCGUACUGCGAUUUUUGUGAAAACUUAAUGGAGCACGGACGUCGCAGCGAUUUAUGUGUUCAGAGUGUGUUUAUAUUGAACGAGUUUGUGCGACAUCAUCGUGACUCUGUAACAUACAACUUUUCCGGACGGGAAAAGCGUUAGUGGUUGUGAAACGUGAAAACAUAAACUGGAUUAUAAUUAUGCCGUACUGUCAAAUGCAAGAUGGCGAAAGGACGACAAAUAAUGGCGACUACGAAUCUUGUCAAUUGCGUCGAUCGUAAAUCGAUCGUCAUGCCAAUAGGAGCUUUCGCUUAGUUGAUUGCUGUGUCCGACUGUGAUCGAUGCUCAAGAGCCGCGAGUUGCCGUGGUGGCUUUCACGUUCAAGUAUCUCGCGCCCUCUUUGGCAUUUGAAUUUCCUUUCUAAUUCUCCCUCGGUAAAUCGUGUAAUUGGAGUACGUCACAGUAGAAUUAUUUCACCAUCGUCUAAUUACGAUUAAUCUAUGUGUAUAUAUACAGCCAGACCUGUCAGACACUAGACUGCGGUCCCGUACUCGUUCCUACGUAAUUCUUUAAACGGACGUUAAGGACUUGAAAAAAGGGCCCAAUAAAGGUAAAAGAAAGAUAUCGCUCGUAUUGCCUCCAGUACUGUCGCAGCCGGAGAUUACUACUGUGUUAACCGCAAGAUCGUACCGGUCCUGCUUAAAGAGGACUGCAGAUCGCCUACCGAUCUACCGGGACAAUGCAUUUCGAUUUACGACUGUCCGACGAUCAUCAGACUGAUACAGGCUGUACCACUGCGUCCGAUUGAUAAGGAAUUUAUACGAAAAUCACAGUGCGGUUCACUUGGUAGGGGAAUACCAAAAGUGUGCUGUGUGGC
Cephus cinctus (wheat stem sawfly) is the source of this 1580-nucleotide long non-coding RNA. RefSeq lists it as uncharacterized. The transcript is spliced from 3 exons. The record is from RefSeq and is a predicted model, not a curated record. Lineage: Eukaryota; Metazoa; Arthropoda; Insecta; Hymenoptera; Cephidae.